Ailuropoda melanoleuca (giant panda) is the source of this 490-nucleotide long non-coding RNA. RefSeq lists it as uncharacterized. The record is from RefSeq and is a predicted model, not a curated record. Lineage: Eukaryota; Metazoa; Chordata; Mammalia; Carnivora; Ursidae. The transcript has 3 exons.
UCUAAUGUACACUUUAAUUUCUGAGUCCGUAGCUUCACUAAUUAAAGUCCUACAUUAACACUCUUCUGCCAGAAUCAAAUAAAAAGAAACAAGAUUUACUUGUCUGACACUUGGCUCCUUUUCCUGCCCAUCUAGGCUUAGAUGACCGUAUGAAGGAACUGUGACAUGGUCAGAAGCUGGGGGAGUGAAGGAAAGGAGGAAAAGCAAACGGGCUGCAUAACCUUUAGGCUGCACAGCCUAGCUUGGAAUGACCUUGGGAUGGUUAUUUACCGUGUACCGAGCUUCAGAGACAUAAUGCUAUACCCAUAGCUAUUCCCUGCUAUCUCCACACGGGUAUUAGAAGAUACUGAUUGAAGUCUUGCUGUUUUCUGAGAGCUGACUAAGGACACAACUGUAUUCCCACCUCGUGUUUCAUCUGGAAGUUCUGCACAAGGUUGAGGUCAGUGAACAUCCGAAUUGUGCACAGCGCCGUUUCUAGGUCAGACAGCUC